Molecule: ribosomal RNA, 253 nt
Filed under: uncultured bacterium
Lineage: Bacteria
Description: partial 16S ribosomal RNA
Rfam family: Bacterial small subunit ribosomal RNA
Source: RNAcentral
UACGGAGGGUGCAAACGUUGCUCGGAAUCAUUGGGCGUAAAGCGCGCGCAGGCGGUCCUUUAAGUCUGAUGUGAAAGCCCACGGCUCAACCGUGGAGGGUCAUUGGAAACUGGGGGACUUGAGUGCAGAAGAGGAGAGUGGAAUUCCACGUGUAGCGGUGAAAUGCGUAGAGAUGUGGAGGAACACCAGUGGCGAAGGCGACUCUCUGGUCUGUAACUGACGCUGAGGCGCGAAAGCGUGGGGAGCAAACAGG